UAGGGAAUCUUCGGCAAUGGGGGCAACCCUGACCGAGCAACGCCGCGUGAGUGAAGAAGGUUUUCGGAUCGUAAAGCUCUGUUGUAAGUCAAGAACGAGUGUGAGAGUGGAAAGUUCACACUGUGACGGUAGCUUACCAGAAAGGGACGGCUAACUACGUGCCAGCAGCCGCGGUAAUACGUAGGUCCCGAGCGUUGUCCGGAUUUAUUGGGCGUAAAGCGAGCGCAGGCGGUUUGAUAAGUCUGAAGUUAAAGGCUGUGGCUCAACCAUAGUUCGCUUUGGAAACUGUCAAACUUGAGUGCAGAAGGGGAGAGUGGAAUUCCAUGUGUAGCGGUGAAAUGCGUAGAUACAUGGAGGAACACCGGUGGCGAAAGCGGCUCUCUGGUCUGUAACUGACGCUGAGGCUCGAAAGCGUGGGGAGCGAACAGGAUUAGAUACCCUGGUAGUCCACGCCGUAAACGAUGAGUGCUAGGUGUUGGAUCCUUUCCGGGAUUCAGUGCCGCAGCUAACGCAUUAAGCACUCCGCCUGGGGAGUACGACCGCAAGGUUG
Molecule: ribosomal RNA, 550 nt
Filed under: uncultured bacterium
Lineage: Bacteria
Description: bacterial SSU rRNA
Rfam family: Bacterial small subunit ribosomal RNA
Source: RNAcentral